Molecule: unclassified non-coding RNA, 290 nt
Filed under: Hevea brasiliensis (rubber tree)
Lineage: Eukaryota; Viridiplantae; Streptophyta; Magnoliopsida; Malpighiales; Euphorbiaceae
Source: RNAcentral
CAGAAAACAAAAAGCGGCCUCUUGAAACAGUACAAUCAUCAGCAUUCAAUCCUCAAGUUCCCGUCGACAAGUGGGGCACGAAUUCCGAACCUUCAACCAGCGAGAGAUGCAUCGUUCAUGAAAUAUAUGAGAGCACGGCAUCUUCGUGAGUGGGAAUCUGGCUCCAGAUAAUUCCUCUAAACAAAUCGCACUGUCACCGCCCUCCUCAGCGAAAAACCUCCACUUCCUCAACUUGUUCAGCACGGAACUUGAUGCACUUCUGGGAAUCACUUCUUGGCUCACUUCGUCCA